UACGGCCAUAUUAAGUUUAAACACCGGUUCUCGUACGAUCGCUGAAGUUAAGCAAUGUCGAGUUUGGUCAGUAUCUAGAUGGGUGACCGCUUGGGAACUCCAGGUGCUGUAAA
This 113-nucleotide ribosomal RNA is filed under the name Acanthosepion pharaonis. Lineage: Eukaryota; Metazoa; Mollusca; Cephalopoda; Sepiida; Sepiidae. The record is from RNAcentral.